UGGGGAAUAUUGCGCAAUGGGCGAAAGCCUGACGCAGCGACGCCUCGUGAGGGAUGAAGGUCUUCGGAUCGUAAACCUCUGUCAAGAGGGAAGAAACCCUUGAGUUCGAACAGGGCUCUUGGCUGACGGUACCUCAAAAGGAAGCACCGGCUAACUCCGUGCCAGCAGCCGCGGUAAUACGGAGGGUGCAAGCGUUAAUCGGAAUCACUGGGCGUAAAGCGCUCGUAGGCGGUUUGGUCAGUCAGACGUGAAAGCCCACGGCUUAACCGUGGAACUGCGUUUGAUACUGCCAGACUUGAGUGUCGGAGAGGGUGGCGGAAUUCCGGGUGUAGGAGUGAAAUCCGUAGAUAUCCGGAGGAACACCAGUGGCGAAGGCGGCCACCUGGACGACAACUGACGCUGAGGAGCGAAAGCGUGGGGAGCAAACA
RNAcentral lists this ribosomal RNA (428 nucleotides) under uncultured prokaryote. Its description in RNAcentral is "bacterial SSU rRNA". It matches the Rfam family "Bacterial small subunit ribosomal RNA", at positions 355 to 774 of the family's 1533-position model. The record is from RNAcentral.